UCAUCUGAGAUCACCUGCGAAGUCACCCACAGGGCCCUGGCAGAGCCCCUGAAAACAACCAUGAAUCUCUCCCAAGUGCUCUGAGUUGUCCCCACCCUGAAGAUCACCACUGAAACCUCUGGGACCCAUGUACAUGUGCAAGACAGAGUGAAUCUCACCUGCCACGUCCUCCACUUCUAUCCCGCCCACCUGCGACUCACCUGGAUGGAGAACAGGAGCAUGAUCCAGACCCUGGUGUCCCCUCGUCCCCUCAGGCCACCAGAAAUCCAGAUGGGACAUACUCUCUGGAGCACACGUGGCAGGCAGAGGCCACGCUGGAGGAGCGUGAGUUUGCUUGCUGGGUGGUCCACGAUGAGCAGCCCCCACUCAAGGCCAACGUCACCCUGCAAGCCCAGGUGCGCAGGCAGGGGAAAGGGAUGUGGAUAAAGCUGGAAGCCAUCAUCCUCAGCAAACUAAUGCAGGAAGAGAAACUCAAACACUACGUGUUCUCACUCAUAAGUGGGAGCUGAACAAUGAGAACACAUGGACACACGGAGGAGAACAACACACACCGAGGCCUGUUGCAGCAGGCCAGAGUGUCCAGCCUUACAAGUUGCAAGGCCCCCUUCAGCGAUCUGAGCCUGGCACAAGGAUCCGAUUGACCUAUGCAUCCUCUGGGUUCUCGACACACCAGGUUACUGUGACCUGGCUUAAAAACAAACACGAGCUCCCAAACCCCCAGACCAGCGUCCAGUACAGUGGACACAC
Homo sapiens (human) is the source of this 747-nucleotide long non-coding RNA. The record is from Ensembl. Lineage: Eukaryota; Metazoa; Chordata; Mammalia; Primates; Hominidae.